RNAcentral lists this ribosomal RNA (2881 nucleotides) under Xanthomonas sp. 3793. RNAcentral describes it as "23S ribosomal RNA". It matches the Rfam family "Bacterial large subunit ribosomal RNA". The record is from RNAcentral. Lineage: Bacteria; Pseudomonadati; Pseudomonadota; Gammaproteobacteria; Lysobacterales; Lysobacteraceae. RNAcentral also lists the same sequence under 1 other name.
GGUCAAGCGAAUAAGCGCACACGGUGGAUGCCUAGGCGGUCAGAGGCGAUGAAGGACGUGGUAGCCUGCGAAAAGUGUCGGGGAGCUGGCAACAAGCUUUGAUCCGGCAAUAUCCGAAUGGGGAAACCCACUGCUUCGGCAGUAUCCUGCAGUGAAUUCAUAGCUGCUGGAAGCGAACCCGGUGAACUGAAAUAUCUAAGUAACCGGAGGAAAAGAAAUCAACCGAGAUUCCCUAAGUAGUGACGAGCGAACGGGGAACAGCCCUUAAGCUGGAAUGGCUUUAGAAAAACAAUCUGGAAAGAUUGGCCAUAGAAGGUGAUAGCCCUGUAUUUAAAAGGGCCACUCCAGUGAAGACGAGUAGGGCGGGGCACGUGAAACCCUGUCUGAAUAUGGGGGGACCAUCCUCCAAGGCUAAAUACUCCUGACCGACCGAUAGUGAACCAGUACCGUGAGGGAAAGGCGAAAAGAACCCCGGAGAGGGGAGUGAAAUAGAUCCUGAAACCGUGUGCGUACAAGCAGUAGGAGCUCGCAAGAGUGACUGCGUACCUUUUGUAUAAUGGGUCAGCGACUUACUGUUCGUGGCAAGCUUAACCGUAUAGGGGAGGCGAAGGGAAACCGAGUCUGAUAAGGGCGCAUAGUCGCGGGCAGUAGACCCGAAACCGGGUGAUCUAGUCAUGGCCAGGGUGAAGGUGCCGUAACAGGUACUGGAGGCCCGAACCCACGUCUGUUGCAAAAGACGGGGAUGAGCUGUGAUUAGGAGUGAAAAGCUAAUCGAACCCGGAGAUAGCUGGUUCUCCUCGAAAGCUAUUUAGGUAGCGCCUCGGACGAAUACUACUGGGGGUAGAGCACUGUUAUGGCUAGGGGGUCAUCGCGACUUACCAAACCAUUGCAAACUCCGAAUACCAGUACGUACUAUCCGGGAGACACACGGCGGGUGCUAACGUCCGUCGUGAAAAGGGAAACAACCCAGACCCACAGCUAAGGUCCCAAAUUCACUGCUAAGUGGAAAACGAUGUGGAAAGGCACAGACAGCCAGGAGGUUGGCUUAGAAGCAGCCACCCUUUAAAGAAAGCGUAAUAGCUCACUGGUCGAGUCGGUCUGCGCGGAAGAUUUAACGGGGCUAAGCAGUGAACCGAAGCUUGGGGUGCAUAAAACUUGUUUUAUGCGCGGUAGAGGAGCGUUCCGUAAGCCUGCGAAGGUGGAUUGAGAAGUCUGCUGGAGGUAUCGGAAGUGCGAAUGCUGACAUGAGUAACGAUAAUGCGGGUGAAAAGCCCGCACGCCGAAAGCCCAAGGUUUCCUUGCGCAACGUUAAUCGACGCAGGGUUAGUCGGUCCCUAAGGCGAGGGCGAAAGCCGUAGUCGAUGGGAAGCAGGUUAAUAUUCCUGCACCUCGCGUGAGUGCGAUGGAGGGACGGAGAAGGUUAGGUGUACCGGGCGUUGGUUGUCCCGGGGAAAGGCGGUAGGUUUGGAUCUUUGGCAAAUCCGGGAUCCUUUAAGACCGAGCACCGAGACGAGCCUUUAUGGCGAAGUCACUGAUACCACGCUUCCAGGAAAAGCUCCUAAGCUUCAGCUCACGAAGACCGUACCGUAAACCGACACAGGUGGGUAGGAUGAGAAUUCUCAGGCGCUUGAGAGAACUCGGGUGAAGGAACUAGGCAACAUGGCACCGUAACUUCGGGAGAAGGUGCACCCUUUUUGGUGGCUCAUGCGAGCUAUAGCUGAAGAGGGUCGCAGAAACCAGGCCGCUGCGACUGUUUAUCAAAAACACAGCACUCUGCAAACACGAAAGUGGACGUAUAGGGUGUGACGCCUGCCCGGUGCUGGAAGGUUAAUUGAUGGGGUCAGCCGCAAGGCGAAGCUCUUGAUCGAAGCCCCAGUAAACGGCGGCCGUAACUAUAACGGUCCUAAGGUAGCGAAAUUCCUUGUCGGGUAAGUUCCGACCUGCACGAAUGGCGUAACGACAGCGGCGCUGUCUCCACCCGAGACUCAGUGAAAUUGAAAUCGCUGUGAAGAUGCAGCGUUCCCGUGGCAAGACGGAAAGACCCCGUGAACCUUUACUAUAGCUUUACACUGAACGUUGAGUUCGUCUGUGUAGGAUAGGUGGGAGGCUAUGAAACUGUGGCGCUAGCUGCAGUGGAGCCAUCCUUGAAAUACCACCCUGUCGUGCUUGACGUUCUAACCUAGAUCCGUUAUCCGGAUCAGGGACCGUGUAUGGUGGGUAGUUUGACUGGGGCGGUCUCCUCCUAAAGAGUAACGGAGGAGCACGAAGGUACGCUCAGCGCGGUCGGACAUCGCGCACUGUGUGCAAAGGCAUAAGCGUGCUUGACUGCAAGAUCGACGGAUCAAGCAGGUACGAAAGUAGGUCUUAGUGAUCCGGUGGUUCUGUAUGGAAGGGCCAUCGCUCAACGGAUAAAAGGUACUCCGGGGAUAACAGGCUGAUACCGCCCAAGAGUUCAUAUCGACGGCGGUGUUUGGCACCUCGAUGUCGGCUCAUCACAUCCUGGGGCUGUAGUCGGUCCCAAGGGUAUGGCUGUUCGCCAUUUAAAGUGGUACGCGAGCUGGGUUCAGAACGUCGUGAGACAGUUCGGUCCCUAUCUGCCAUGGGCGUUGGAAGUUUGAGAGGGGCUGCUCCUAGUACGAGAGGACCGGAGUGGACGAACCUCUGGUGUUCCGGUUGUCACGCCAGUGGCAUUGCCGGGUAGCUAUGUUCGGAAGCGAUAACCGCUGAAAGCAUCUAAGCGGGAAGCGCGCCUCAAGAUGAGACUUCCCGGGGCACAAGCCCCCUAAAGGAACCAUAUAGACUAUGUGGUUGAUAGGUCAGGUGUGUAAGUACAGCAAUGUAUUGAGCUAACUGAUACUAAUGAUCCGUGCGGCUUGACCAU